GCUUAUGGCCACACCGCCUGGUUCACGGCUGAUCUCGUUUGAUCUCGGAAGCUAUGAUAGGUUGGGCCUGGUUAGUACUUGGAUGGGAGACCGCCUGGGAAUACCAGGUGUUGUAAGAU
This is a ribosomal RNA of Scophthalmus maximus (turbot), 119 nucleotides long. The record is from Ensembl. NCBI's taxonomy places the organism in Eukaryota, Metazoa, Chordata, Actinopteri, Pleuronectiformes, Scophthalmidae.